GACGAACGCUGGCGGCGUGCCUAAUACAUGCAAGUCGAGCGGAAGUUGAAGAGCUUGCUCUUCAACUUUAGCGGCGGACGGGUGAGUAACACGUGGGCAACCUGCCCUGCAGAUCGGGAUAACUCCGGGAAACCGGUGCUAAUACCGAAUAGUUUUCGCCACCUCCUGGUGGCGUAUGGAAAGACGGUUUCGGCUGUCACUGCAGGAUGGGCCCGCGGCGCAUUAGCUAGUUGGUGGGGUAACGGCCCACCAAGGCGACGAUGUGUAGCCGACCUGAGAGGGUGACCCGCCAAACGGGGACUGAGACACGGCCCAGACUCCUACGGGAGGCAGCAGUAGGGAAUCUUCCGCAAUGGACGAAAGUCUGACGGAGCAACGCCGCGUGAGUGACGAAGGUUUUCGGAUCGUAAAACUCUGUUGUGAGGGAAGAACAAGUACCAACUAACUACUGGUACCUUGACGGUACCUCACCAGAAAGCCACGGCUAACUACGUGCCAGCAGCCGCCGUAA
Molecule: ribosomal RNA, 511 nt
Filed under: uncultured bacterium
Lineage: Bacteria
Description: partial 16S ribosomal RNA
Rfam family: Bacterial small subunit ribosomal RNA
Source: RNAcentral